RNAcentral lists this ribosomal RNA (619 nucleotides) under Pseudarthrobacter sp. RNAcentral describes it as "bacterial SSU rRNA". It matches the Rfam family "Bacterial small subunit ribosomal RNA", at positions 434 to 1066 of the family's 1533-position model. The record is from RNAcentral. Lineage: Bacteria; Bacillati; Actinomycetota; Actinomycetes; Micrococcales; Micrococcaceae.
UCAGUAGGGAAGAAGCGAAAGUGACGGUACCUGCAGAAGAAGCGCCGGCUAACUACGUGCCAGCAGCCGCGGUAAUACGUAGGGCGCAAGCGUUAUCCGGAAUUAUUGGGCGUAAAGAGCUCGUAGGCGGUUUGUCGCGUCUGCCGUGAAAGUCCGGGGCUCAACUCCGGAUCUGCGGUGGGUACGGGCAGACUAGAGUGAUGUAGGGGAGACUGGAAUUCCUGGUGUAGCGGUGAAAUGCGCAGAUAUCAGGAGGAACACCGAUGGCGAAGGCAGGUCUCUGGGCAUUAACUGACGCUGAGGAGCGAAAGCAUGGGGAGCGAACAGGAUUAGAUACCCUGGUAGUCCAUGCCGUAAACGUUGGGCACUAGGUGUGGGGGACAUUCCACGUUUUCCGCGCCGUAGCUAACGCAUUAAGUGCCCCGCCUGGGGAGUACGGCCGCAAGGCUAAAACUCAAAGGAAUUGACGGGGGCCCGCACAAGCGGCGGAGCAUGCGGAUUAAUUCGAUGCAACGCGAAGAACCUUACCAAGGCUUGACAUGAACCGGWAACGCCUGGAGACAGGUGCCCCGCUUGCGGUCGGUUUACAUGGUGGUGCAUGGUGUCGUCAGCUCGUGUC